AACAUCUGAAGGGGAUUAAAGAUUUAUCGGUGAUGGAUGGGGAUGCGUCUGAUUAGCUUGUUGGCGGGGUAACGGCCCACCAAGGCUACGAUCAGUAGGGGUUCUGAGAGGAAGGUCCCCCACAUUGGAACUGAGACACGGUCCAAACUCCUACGGGAGGCAGCAGUGAGGAAUAUUGGUCAAUGGACGAGAGUCUGAACCAGCCAAGUAGCGUGCAGGAAGACGGCCCUAUGGGUUGUAAACUGCUUUUAUAAGGGAAUAAAGUGAGUCUCGUGAGACUUUUUGCAUGUACCUUAUGAAUAAGGACCGGCUAAUUCCGUGCCAGCAGCCGCGGUAAUACGGAAGGUCCGGGCGUUAUCCGGAUUUAUUGGGUUUAAAGGGAGCGUAGGCCGGAGAUUAAGCGUGUUGUGAAAUGUAGAUGCUCAACAUCUGCACUGCAGCGCGAACUGGUUUCCUUGAGUACGCACAAAGUGGGCGGAAUUCGUGGUGUAGCGGUGAAAUGCUUAGAUAUCACGAAGAACUCCGAUUGCGAAGGCAGCUCACUGGAGCGCAACUGACGCUGAAGCUCGAAAGUGCGGGUAUCGAACAGGAUUAGAUACCCUGGUAGUCCGCACGGUAAACGAUGGAUGCCCGCUGUUGGUCUGAAUAGGUCAGCGGCCAAGCGAAAGCAUUAAGCAUCCCACCUGGGGAGUA
RNAcentral lists this ribosomal RNA (693 nucleotides) under uncultured bacterium. RNAcentral's name for it is "bacterial SSU rRNA". It matches the Rfam family "Bacterial small subunit ribosomal RNA", at positions 187 to 882 of the family's 1533-position model. The record is from RNAcentral.